This 480-nucleotide ribosomal RNA is filed under the name Acinetobacter baumannii. Its description in RNAcentral is "bacterial SSU rRNA". It matches the Rfam family "Bacterial small subunit ribosomal RNA", at positions 66 to 540 of the family's 1533-position model. The record is from RNAcentral. Lineage: Bacteria; Pseudomonadati; Pseudomonadota; Gammaproteobacteria; Moraxellales; Moraxellaceae.
GUAGCACAGAGAGCUUGCUCUCGGGUGACGAGCGGCGGACGGGUGAGUAAUGUCUGGGAAACUGCCUGAUGGAGGGGGAUAACUACUGGAAACGGUAGCUAAUACCGCAUAAUGUCGCAAGACCAAAGUGGGGGACCUUCGGGCCUCAUGCCAUCAGAUGUGCCCAGAUGGGAUUAGCUAGUAGGUGGGGUAACGGCUCACCUAGGCGACGAUCCCUAGCUGGUCUGAGAGGAUGACCAGCCACACUGGAACUGAGACACGGUCCAGACUCCUACGGGAGGCAGCAGUGGGGAAUAUUGCACAAUGGGCGCAAGCCUGAUGCAGCCAUGCCGCGUGUGUGAAGAAGGCCUUCGGGUUGUAAAGCACUUUCAGCGGGGAGGAAGGCGAGAAGGUUAAUAACCUUGUCGAUUGACGUUACCCGCAGAAGAAGCACCGGCUAACUCCGUGCCAGCAGCCGCGGUAAUACGGAGGGUGCAAGCG